GCGGAAGGAUCAUUAUCGAG
RNAcentral lists this ribosomal RNA (20 nucleotides) under Basidiomycota sp. UD 100/08. Its description in RNAcentral is "partial 18S ribosomal RNA". The record is from RNAcentral. Lineage: Eukaryota; Fungi; Basidiomycota.